ACGGAAGGCAGCAGUGGGGAGUAUUGCACAAUGGGCGAAAGCCUGAUGCAGCAACGCCGCGUGAGUGAAGAAGUAUUUCGGUAUGUAAAGCUCUAUCGAUGGGGAAUAUAAUUAAGGUACCCAAGUAAGAAGCCCCGGCUAACUACGUUCCAGCAGCCGCGGUAAUACGUAGGGGGCCAGCGUUAUCCGGAUUUACUGGGUGUAAAGGGAGCGUAGACGGAUUAGCAAGUUUGAAGUGAAAUACCUGGGCUUAAACCGGGAAUUGCUUUGAAAACUGUUAAUCUAGAGUACUGGAGAGGUAUGGGGAAUUUCUAGUGUAGUGGUGAAAUGCGUAGAUAUUAGGAAGAACACCGGAGGCGAAGGCGGCAUACUGGACAGAUACUGACGUUGAGGCUCGAAAGCGUGGGGAGCAAACAGGAUUAGAUACCCUGGUA
RNAcentral lists this ribosomal RNA (434 nucleotides) under uncultured Lachnospiraceae bacterium. RNAcentral's name for it is "partial 16S ribosomal RNA". It matches the Rfam family "Bacterial small subunit ribosomal RNA", at positions 341 to 792 of the family's 1533-position model. The record is from RNAcentral. Lineage: Bacteria; Bacillati; Bacillota; Clostridia; Lachnospirales; Lachnospiraceae.